RNAcentral lists this ribosomal RNA (3006 nucleotides) under Salmonella enterica subsp. enterica. Its description in RNAcentral is "23S ribosomal RNA". It matches the Rfam family "Bacterial large subunit ribosomal RNA". Lineage: Bacteria; Pseudomonadati; Pseudomonadota; Gammaproteobacteria; Enterobacterales; Enterobacteriaceae. The record is from RNAcentral.
UUAAGCGACUAAGCGUACACGGUGGAUGCCCUGGCAGUCAGAGGCGAUGAAGGGCGUGCUAAUCUGCGAUAAGCGCCGGUAAGGUGAUAUGAACCGUUAUAACCGGCGAUACCCGAAUGGGGAAACCCAGUGUGAUUCGUCACACUAUCAUUAACUGAAUCCAUAGGUUAAUGAGGCGAACCGGGGGAACUGAAACAUCUAAGUACCCCGAGGAAAAGAAAUCAACCGAGAUUCCCCCAGUAGCGGCGAGCGAACGGGGAGGAGCCCAGAGCCUGAAUCAGCAUGUGUGUUAGUGGAAGCGUCUGGAAAGGCGCGCGAUACAGGGUGACAGCCCCGUACACAAAAGCGCAUGUGCUGUGAGCUCGAUGAGUAGGGCGGGACACGUGGUAUCCUGUCUGAAUAUGGGGGGACCAUCCUCCAAGGCUAAAUACUCCUGACUGACCGAUAGUGAACCAGUACCGUGAGGGAAAGGCGAAAAGAACCCCGGCGAGGGGAGUGAAAAAGAACCUGAAACCGUGUACGUACAAGCAGUGGGAGCCCCACCACCAAAGCAUUCUCUGGUGUUGAAGGCCCUGCAAAGCAGCAUCGCGGUGGCGGAGCGUCGUUUGCGACGCCCAACACACAAAACAAGCGGUGAGUGCUUUGGGGUGGGGUGACUGCGUACCUUUUGUAUAAUGGGUCAGCGACUUAUAUUCUGUAGCAAGGUUAACCGAAUAGGGGAGCCGGAGGGAAACCGAGUCUUAAUUGGGCGUUAAGUUGCAGGGUAUAGACCCGAAACCCGGUGAUCUAGCCAUGGGCAGGUUGAAGGUUGGGUAACACUAACUGGAGGACCGAACCGACUAAUGUUGAAAAAUUAGCGGAUGACCUGUGGCUGGGGGUGAAAGGCCAAUCAAACCGGGAGAUAGCUGGUUCUCCCCGAAAGCUAUUUAGGUAGCGCCUCGUGAACUCAUCUCCGGGGGUAGAGCACUGUUUCGGCUAGGGGGCCAUCCCGGCUUACCAACCCGAUGCAAACUGCGAAUACCGGAGAAUGUUAUCACGGGAGACACACGGCGGGUGCUAACGUCCGUCGUGAAGAGGGAAACAACCCAGACCGCCAGCUAAGGUCCCAAAGUCAUGGUUAAGUGGGAAACGAUGUGGGAAGGCCCAGACAGCCAGGAUGUUGGCUUAGAAGCAGCCAUCAUUUAAAGAAAGCGUAAUAGCUCACUGGUCGAGUCGGCCUGCGCGGAAGAUGUAACGGGGCUAAACCAUGCACCGAAGCUGCGGCAGCGACACUGUGUGUUGUUGGGUAGGGGAGCGUUCUGUAAGCCUGUGAAGGUGUGUCGUGAGGCAUGCUGGAGGUAUCAGAAGUGCGAAUGCUGACAUAAGUAACGAUAAAGCGGGUGAAAAGCCCGCUCGCCGGAAGACCAAGGGUUCCUGUCCAACGUUAAUCGGGGCAGGGUGAGUCGACCCCUAAGGCGAGGCCGAAAGGCGUAGUCGAUGGGAAACGGGUUAAUAUUCCCGUACUUGGUGUUACUGCGAAGGGGGGACGGAGAAGGCUAUGUUGGCCGGGCGACGGUUGUCCCGGUUUAAGCGUGUAGGUGUGUGUUCCAGGUAAAUCCGGUUCACUUUAACACUGAGGCGUGACGACGAGGCACUACGGUGCUGAAGCAACAAAUGCCCUGCUUCCAGGAAAAGCCUCUAAGCAUCAGGUAACAUCAAAUCGUACCCCAAACCGACACAGGUGGUCAGGUAGAGAAUACCAAGGCGCUUGAGAGAACUCGGGUGAAGGAACUAGGCAAAAUGGUGCCGUAACUUCGGGAGAAGGCACGCUGACACGUAGGUGAAGUGAUUUACUCAUGGAGCUGAAGUCAGUCGAAGAUACCAGCUGGCUGCAACUGUUUAUUAAAAACACAGCACUGUGCAAACACGAAAGUGGACGUAUACGGUGUGACGCCUGCCCGGUGCCGGAAGGUUAAUUGAUGGGGUCAGCGCAAGCGAAGCUCCUGAUCGAAGCCCCGGUAAACGGCGGCCGUAACUAUAACGGUCCUAAGGUAGCGAAAUUCCUUGUCGGGUAAGUUCCGACCUGCACGAAUGGCGUAAUGAUGGCCAGGCUGUCUCCACCCGAGACUCAGUGAAAUUGAACUCGCUGUGAAGAUGCAGUGUACCCGCGGCAAGACGGAAAGACCCCGUGAACCUUUACUAUAGCUUGACACUGAACAUUGAGCCUUGAUGUGUAGGAUAGGUGGGAGGCUUUGAAGUGUGGACGCCAGUCUGCAUGGAGCCGACCUUGAAAUACCACCCUUUAAUGUUUGAUGUUCUAACGUGGACCCGUAAUCCGGGUUGCGGACAGUGUCUGGUGGGUAGUUUGACUGGGGCGGUCUCCUCCUAAAGAGUAACGGAGGAGCACGAAGGUUGGCUAAUCCUGGUCGGACAUCAGGAGGUUAGUGCAAUGGCAUAAGCCAGCUUGACUGCGAGCGUGACGGCGCGAGCAGGUGCGAAAGCAGGUCAUAGUGAUCCGGUGGUUCUGAAUGGAAGGGCCAUCGCUCAACGGAUAAAAGGUACUCCGGGGAUAACAGGCUGAUACCGCCCAAGAGUUCAUAUCGACGGCGGUGUUUGGCACCUCGAUGUCGGCUCAUCACAUCCUGGGGCUGAAGUAGGUCCCAAGGGUAUGGCUGUUCGCCAUUUAAAGUGGUACGCGAGCUGGGUUUAGAACGUCGUGAGACAGUUCGGUCCCUAUCUGCCGUGGGCGCUGGAGAACUGAGGGGGGGCUGCUCCUAGUACGAGAGGACCGGAGUGGACGCAUCACUGGUGUUCGGGUUGUCAUGCCAAUGGCACUGCCCGGUAGCUAAAUGCGGAAGAGAUAAGUGCUGAAAGCAUCUAAGCACGAAACUUGCCCCGAGAUGAGUUCUCCCUGAGACUUAGAGUCUCCUGAAGGAACGUUGAAGACGACGACGUUGAUAGGCCGGGUGUGUAAGCGCAGCGAUGCGUUGAGCUAACCGGUACUAAUGAACCGUGAGGCUUAACCUU